CCUGUGGAUGGAAAUGCCGGUCUGAGACAGCCCGGCUCCCGCUGCUGACCUGGGAGGGGCAGGCCGACCCCCGGAAGCCCCGAGUGGGCAGGGUGAGGCAGCCGGAAGCUUCUGGAGCCCAGGAGGUCCGGCACACCCUGCGGGACAGGACUUGUCUCCCCACCUUCUGAGCCCCCAAGGAACCCAGCCAGGGUGGGACAGGCGACGGGGACGCGGGUGACACCCACCUUCAUUUCAGCCUCCAGCUGGAGGAGGUCGAGCGGGAACUGCCCUGUAGGAGAGAUGGGGCGCCAAGGGGUGCAGCAGCAGGACCGGACAGUAAGGCUGGUUCACACCCGUGGCCUCACUGGUGGGGACACAGGAAGACGUGUGUCACCUCGUGAUGGGAGUUCCAGGACGCGUCUGGCGGCUCGGACGGUUCCCCGUGACGCCCGCCUGCCUCUGGCGGCCACAGGCGAGGGCCCGUGUGGUGAAGACAGGGUCCCCGUGUUGCUGCCAGGGCCCCAGGGCCCCAGGGCCCCAGGGCCAGGUCGGGAACUCCGUCUCCUGCCUGAGCUGUUCUUUGUGAGCUGGUGCCGUCACUUCCUGAGAGCCGGCCAUACCCCCACGAGGACGGAUCUGUGUCGUCCUUCUCCUGUCGGUUGCUGCUCUUCACGUCUUGAAGCUAUGUUGUUAGAGGCACAGGAUUUGGAAUUGCUGUAUUUUUCUGGGUCCGGUAAUUUUGGUGCCAUCCUCGCCGGGCAUGCUUAGUUGCGUGGUCCUGGCCCGUCGUUGGCUCCACCCCCGGAAGCGGCGAGGUAUGUCCCGCUUCGACCACGCUGAACGAGGGCAGCGGUGCGCUCCUGGGGGUCUCCCCUCCAGCAUCGCCUCCUUCUCGAAGGGCCCUUGCCAUCUGUCCCGUCCCAUCAGGGCGGGUCCUCCGACGGCCUCGCUCUGAAGGGGGUUUCCGCCGACGCACACAGGCCAUCUUUACGUCGUCCUGAGGCCUCUUCUCUGGCGUCUGUCUUCCGUGCGGAGGAGUGAGGUCCUGUUGGUCGGUGGAGCGAAGGGCUCCUUCGGCCUCAGAAAACCCUCCGCCGUGACGCCUCCAGCAGUGGAAGAAUCUGGCAGAGUCGUCCCACCGUCCGUCCGUCCGUCCCUCGGAAGGAACCUGCGAGGCGCUAAGACUUCAGCCCCAGGGCAAGCGGGCCAAGGGAGGACUCCACGCAGCCGGCAGGGGCCCCGCUCCACCCUUCAGCCCCGCUGUCCUCGAAGCCCUGGGCCCUGAGGCUUUGGGCCAACUAGGGACCAAACCGCCACAGAUGCCGCCGGGCCCCAUACGCCUGGAAGGGGUGUCCUUCCUCCAGGAGGGCACGGGUAACCACAGAGGACAGUGCCGGGGACCCACCCCAGCCCGGGGCCGCUUGGAGCACACUCACCUGGUGGUCCUGGUGGGCCCACUUCUCCUUUGUCACCCUUCGGUCCAGGAGGCCCCUGGUACCCUGGAGGGACAGAGACCCAGGAGUGCCCAUCAUCGAGCUGUGACAGGGCCCUUGGGCCAUGCCCCUGUGCCCCGCUCACCCCCAGCCCUUGUGAGUGCUGCGUGCACUAGCCUGGACGGGGGAGGAGCACCACACGAGUUUGGGAGCCUUCAGAGCAAGAGCUUUUGUUGAGCAGAAGCACUCGGGGGUCCCACCCAAGGGGCUGCCCCUGGAGGCCACACCACUCCCGCGGGGCGGGCGCGGGCUGACAGAGCAGGCCCGGGCAGGGGGCAGAUCUAAAUUCCGCACGCGAGUGGGCGUCUACUCAGUGUCCGGGGCUGUCCCCCGCGAGGCUGCCAGGACGGCCGUGCUGGGACGACCCGGGAGGUCCCGCGAGAGGCCCGUGAUCACUCUGGAGCAGGGGACAUGGGCCAACGAGGCAUUCCUGCUUCCCCUGGAGCCCAGGCUCACAGGAGGAAGUCCUGCGGCAUCCAGCAUCCCCAAGAGAAGCCACCGCCCCAGCCACCGCGAGGCCCCAGGGGCCCUCACCUGGCAAUCCUGGAGGUCCAGGGCGGCCAGACUCCAUGAAGGCCUGCAAAGAAGCUGGCCAGACCACAUGGCUCGAGGUUCAGGCUCCCAGAUGCAGAGAACCCUCACUUCCCCAGGUGGGGUUUGUUUUCUAAUGGAGUACUGGCCAGCCCCCUGCCAGAAAUUGGGGUGUCCCCUCCCUGGGAGAGGCUGACCCCUCCAGGGGGUGGCUGGUGGAUAGGGCCUGUGAGGAGGGGAGUGGGGGUACUCACGUUGCUGUCAUAGACGGGAGUCCCGGGAGGGCCUGGGGGUCCUGGAGGCCCCGGGGGACCGGGUGGGCCCUGCAUGGGGAAGACAGAACACGAGGUCAGUCACGUUCACAGCCAGGCCGUGGAUGUGACCAGGGCAGCAGAUGUGAGGGGGAAUAUUUCACUAAAUAUCUCACUAAAAUCAGAAAACUGAACGUGUGUGACAGCAUAUAAUCAGGAAGCAUCCAGUCUGGUUGUGGCUGUGGGGCCCCCAAGCACAGCUGCCCCUUUCAGAACGUGCCUGGGGGACGUGGAGAGGGCGACAGGACUGGCGGGGAGCACGGAGACUAACGCAGAGUCUGGGAGCUCAUCUGUGUAUUUCCACGUUCAAGGCAGAGCCCCAGGAGGCCCAGAGGCCAGCAGGCUGAGCCCAUGUGUGAACUUUCAUCUACUUCUUCACAGAAAGAGAAGAGACAGCCACCCAGGCGGCGUGCAAAGCACUCAUUCUGGCAGUGACCUGCUUACUGGACAAAGCACCAGCCUGUGUAACUCCCGCUGCGUCAGGAGUGAGACCAGGGCCAGUGAGGUCGUGCAAACCUCAGGACCCGGCCCCGCCUGCCCUGCGGUCGCCUCCUUGCAGUGCCCCACUGAGGCCAAGGACAGAGGGACUGGAGGCAGCACAGAGGUGGGGUGUCGGGCCCCCAGAGGAGCCGCUGGAGGCGGAGCCCUGUCCCAGCAGACUCCACGGGGCACACAUGCGCCCUUAGGUCAGAACUGACUCGCCGUCUGCCCUUAGGUCAGAGGUGCGGAAAGGAUCCCGGCGCCUGUCUUGCUUGUUGAGGCCCGCGACCCGUCUUUGUGUCACUACUUCAGAUCGCCGCGAGAUGUCACCUCCUGCCUCUUGAGUUUUCACGAGGCAGCAGCCACAUUGAGGCCACGGGAAGAAGGAGCCACGAUGAAGAACCAGCAGUGAUGGCAAAAGCAGAAAAGUGGGGACCGUCUGACACGCUGGCCUCGGGACCCCACGCCCCGGCCCGGGCCGUGGGAGCAAAGUCACCGAGUGCACCUGGCAGCUGGCUGGGUGCCCGGCCGCGGGAUCGGGAGCAGGUCCCGUGUCUGGAGGCCCCCUCUUAGGGAGAAACGGAUAAAAACACCCAGGCUACCAACAUAAACCCUGCUCAGAAGCCGGUGAGGCGCUGAGA
Herpailurus yagouaroundi (jaguarundi) is the source of this 3438-nucleotide long non-coding RNA. RefSeq lists it as uncharacterized. The record is from RefSeq and is a predicted model, not a curated record. Lineage: Eukaryota; Metazoa; Chordata; Mammalia; Carnivora; Felidae. The transcript is spliced from 6 exons.